AUGGAUUGGCGACCCAUGGAAAUCUGCGACAACAAUAAAGAUCCAAGUGGACCAAUGUACUACAAUGGCAUCUACCAUGAGUUCUACCAGUAUAACCCCGAUGGCUCCAACAGUCCAAGUCUCUCCUAUAACAUAGUUUGCGGCCAUUCAGUUUCAACAGACCUUGUCAACUGGAUCGGUCUUGAACCCGUACUAGUACCGGAUACCCCAAGUGACAUAUGCGGUUGCUGGACCGGCUCAGCCACAAUUCUACCUGGUAAUCGACCGGCCAUCAUAUACACUGGUCUCAUCAACAUGGAGAAGCAUCAGGUCCAAAACAUUGCGCUUCCCAAAAACCAGUCUGAUCCGUACCUGAGGGAAUGGACCAAAGCAGGCAAUAACCCAGUGAUCCAACCGGUCAUGCCAGGCUUGAACUCGAGCCAGUUCAGGGAUCCGACAACCGGUUGGAUCGGACCAGAUGGACUAUGGAGAAUAGCAGUUGGUGCUGAUCUGAACGGCUCCAGUACUGCACUUCUGUACAAGAGUGAAGACUUCUUGAAUUGGACCAGAGUUGAACACCCAUUGUAUUCAUCCAAGUCCUUUGACAUGUGGGAGUGCCUGGAUUUCUUCGCGGUAUUGUCGGGAAGUAACGGUGGACUGGACAUGUCUUCAGCAAUCCCUAAUGGCGCCAAGCACGUCCUCAAAAUGGGCAUGGAUUACAGUGACAAGUACAUGAUUGGGGUUUAUGAUCUCAAACGUGAUGUCUUUGUGCCAGAUACUGUCAUAGAUGACUAUCGGCUAUGGCUGAGGAUCGACUAUGGCAAUUUCUAUGCUUCAAAAUCGUUCUUUGACUCCAAACAUGGAAGGAGGAUCAUAUGGGCUUGGAGCAACGAGACAGAUACUUCUUCAGAUGAUGUUGCAAAAGGCUGGGCAGGAAUCCAUUCAAUCCCCAGGACAAUUUGGUUAGACAGCGACGGCAAGCAGUUGUUGCAAUGGCCAGUUGAAGAGAUUGAGUCCCUUCGAAGAAAUGAAAUCAACCAUCAAGGACUAGAGCUGAACAAGGGAGACCUAUUUGAGAUUAAGGGAAUUGACACUUUGCAGGCUGAUGUCGAGAUAGAUUUUGAGCUGACAUCCAUCGAUGACGCGGAACCUUUUGAUCCUUCCUGGCUUUUAGACGCCCCGAAGCAGUGCCGGGAAGCUGAUGCAUCGGUUCAUGGUGGCAUAGGGCCAUUCGGACUUGUUAUUCUGGCCUCCGACAACAUGGAGGAGCACACUGAUGUGCACUUCAGGGUUUACAAAUCACAGCAAAACUACAUGAUCCUCAUGUGCACUGACCUAAGAAGGUCUUCCCUGAGACCAGGACUAUACACACCAGCCUAUGGAGGCUUCUUUGAACUUGACCUUGAAAAAGAAAGGAAAGUCUCUAUCAGAACUCUGAUUGAUCGGUCGGCAGUGGAGAGCUUUGGCGGCGGUGGCAGAGGCUGCAUCAUGGCUAGAGUUUACCCAGUGUCACUUGUCGACGACGACCACCAGCCCCACAUGUACUCCCUCAGUUCCAAAAUAGAUGACCCAACUUUGUACUAA
RNAcentral lists this ribosomal RNA (1563 nucleotides) under Triticum aestivum (bread wheat). RNAcentral's name for it is "partial small subunit ribosomal RNA". The record is from RNAcentral. Lineage: Eukaryota; Viridiplantae; Streptophyta; Magnoliopsida; Poales; Poaceae.